AGGACGAACGCUGGCGGCGUGCUUAACACAUGCAAGUCGAACGAGGUUAUUGAAGAGCUUGCUCUGAGGUAGACCGAGUGGCGGACGGGUGAGUAACGCGUGAGGAACCUGUCUUACACAGGGGGAUAACGCACCGAAAGGUGUGCUAAUACCGCAUAAGACCACACUUUCGCAUGGAAGAGGGGUCAAAGGAGCGAUCCGGUGUAAGGUGGACUCGCGUCCCAUUAGGCAGUUGGCGGGUAACGGCCCACCAAACCGACGAUGGGUAGCCGACCUGAGAGGGUGAUCGGCCACAUUGGAACUGAGACACGGUCCAAACUCCUACGGGAGGCAGCAGUGGGGAAUAUUGGGCAAUGGGCGCAAAGCCUGACCCAGCAACGCCGCGUGAGGGAAGAAGGUUUUCGGAUUGUAAACCUCUGUCCUCGAUGAAAAGGAGAAGAUGGUAAUUGAGGAGGAAGCCCCGGCUAACUACGUGCCAGCCGCCGC
Molecule: ribosomal RNA, 486 nt
Filed under: uncultured bacterium
Lineage: Bacteria
Description: bacterial SSU rRNA
Rfam family: Bacterial small subunit ribosomal RNA
Source: RNAcentral